Molecule: ribosomal RNA, 497 nt
Filed under: uncultured bacterium
Lineage: Bacteria
Description: partial 16S ribosomal RNA
Rfam family: Bacterial small subunit ribosomal RNA
Source: RNAcentral
GACGAACGCUGGCGGCGUGCCUAAUACAUGCAAGUAGAACGCUGAAGAGAGGAGCUUGCUCUUCUUGGAUGAGUUGCGAACGGGUGAGUAACGCGUAGGAAACCUGCCUUGUAGCGGGGGAUAACUAUUGGAAACGAUAGCUAAUACCGCAUAACAAUGGAUGACACAUGUCAUUUAUUUGAAAGGGGCAAUUGCUCCACUACAAGAUGGACCUGCGUUGUAUUAGCUAGUAGGUGAGGUAAUGGCUCACCUAGGCGACGAUACAUAGCCGACCUGAGAGGGUGAUCGGCCACACUGGGACUGAGACACGGCCCAGACUCCUACGGGAGGCAGCAGUAGGGAAUCUUCGGCAAUGGGGGCAACCCUGACCGAGCAACGCCGCGUGAGUGAAGAAGGUUUUCGGAUCGUAAAGCUCUGUUGUAAGUCAAGAACGGGUGUGAGAGUGGAAAGUUCACACUGUGACGGUAGCUUACCAGAAAGGGACGGCUAACUACGUG